This is a small nucleolar RNA of Suricata suricatta (meerkat), 130 nucleotides long. Ensembl annotates it as small nucleolar RNA, H/ACA box 5C. The record is from Ensembl. NCBI's taxonomy places the organism in Eukaryota, Metazoa, Chordata, Mammalia, Carnivora, Herpestidae.
CGCAGUCAUGUCAAAUUUGGCCCCCAUUCCUAUCACCAAUGGCCCAGGUGACUGCUACAGCAAGCCCUGCAGCUCAUGGGCCCCGGGACCCCACCCUGGGACCCGGGGAUAAAUCUGGCUGCAGACAGGG